Molecule: ribosomal RNA, 497 nt
Filed under: uncultured bacterium
Lineage: Bacteria
Description: partial 16S ribosomal RNA
Rfam family: Bacterial small subunit ribosomal RNA
Source: RNAcentral
GAUGAACGCUGGCGGCGUGCCUAAUACAUGCAAGUCGAGCGAACGGACGAGAAGCUUGCUUCUCUGGUGUUAGCGGCGGACGGGUGAGUAACACGUGGAUAACCUACCUAUAAGACUGGGAUAACUUCGGGAAACCGGAGCUAAUACCGGAUAAUAUUUUGAACCGCAUGGUUCAAAAGUGAAAGACGGUCUUGCUGUCACUUAUAGAUGGAUCCGCGCUGCAUUAGCUAGUUGGUAAGGUAACGGCUUACCAAGGCAACGAUGCAUAGCCGACCUGAGAGGGUGAUCGGCCACACUGGAACUGAGACACGGUCCAGACUCCUACGGGAGGCAGCCGUAGGGAAUCUUCCGCAAUGGGCGAAAGCCUGACGGAGCAACGCCGCGUGAGUGAUGAAGGUCUUCGGAUCGUAAAACUCUGUUAUUAGGGAAGAACAUAUGUGUAAGUAACUGUGCACAUCUUGACGGUACCUAAUCAGAAAGCCACGGCUAACUACGUG